CUCUAUACUGCCCUGGGACUCUGUAGAGAGUCCCUACCAGCAAGAAGGCUCUCACCAGAUGUGGCCCCUUGACCUUGGAUGUAGCCUCCAGAAUUACUCUAGAAGUAAGGAACCAAGCGCCUCACUGGUGGUGUGGAAGAACUGGGAUUCCCCACAGUGCAGUGGAAAUUCCUGGGAGUCUCGAACCACAUAUUUUCCAUCUACUACAUCCAAAGCUCUGCAAAGAACGGAACCACAGUCAUGUCAAUACGCUAUGAACAAUGCCAAAAUCUCAAGAAACCCAAAGGCAUAUUUCUCCAUGUAUUAAUAUAUUUCCAGUCAGCCCAAAUAAUGAAUCAUUCUUCAAAACCUACACGGUGUUGUAGAUAAUUUGGUGCUCUCAUAGCACAUUUAUAAAUAAACCUGGAUGACUUCA
RNAcentral lists this non-coding RNA (415 nucleotides) under Pan troglodytes (chimpanzee). Lineage: Eukaryota; Metazoa; Chordata; Mammalia; Primates; Hominidae. The record is from RNAcentral.